CGAUCUGUAGAACUCCUAGGGAGCAUGUUGAGCUGAUUCACCUCACUUUACCUAUUGGACAGAUACCAUCUGUCCUGACUUUGACUGUACAUGAUGAAAUAAACCGGACUUUGCAACUUGCUCCGUAAAAGAGCAAUACCUAGGGUUGACUACACUGUCUUAGCUGAGUGGGCGCGAGCGGCCAAGUCUAUAUUGACUAAAAGGGGUCAAGGACCCCGUAGAGAGGCUAUUUGAUAUAUAUACAUAUAUAUCGGGUCGGGCUGCAUGCAGGAGCAGUAUAUACAUAUACAUGUAUUGGAUCGGACUGCACGCCGCAGUAUUAUAUUAUAUGGAUCGGACUGCACGCCGCAGUAUUUUAGCGUUUGGGUUGAAGGAGCCCCUGCGGAGUCUGUACAGACCCCCAGUGAGCGCAGCCGGCUAUAUUAUUGGAUCGGGAUGCGCGCCGCAACAGUAUUAUAUAUUAUUGGAUCGGGCUGCGCGCCGCAACAGUAUUAUAUAUUAUUGGAUCGGGUUGCGCGCCGCAGCAGUAUUAUAUUAAAUUGGAUCGGGCUGCGCGCCGCAGUAGUAUAUAUAUCUAGUGUUGGAUCAUGCUGCGCACCGCAACAGUGUUAGCAUAUGGUCGGACGGAAAGGAAAGUAAUUACCAUAUUCUUCUCCAUGUUUGGUACUUAUUUACUGUUCUUGCUAUUGAAAAAAAAAAAGAACUGUUUAGUGUCUUUACCGAAUUUCUUACAUUCAGUUAUUAUUUAUUGCUAUUACUCACUGAGUUGAAACUACUCGCUCUACUCCCUGCACCUUGUAUGCAGAUUCAGGGAUCCCGGAGGCGUAGUUGUGAUUUGCUGUUGCAUUUCAGUCCCUUACUGAGUUGUCAAGGUAGCUGCUGGCGUCCGCAGGACCUGAUCUCUCCUCUAUCUAUCUUUUGUUUCCGUAUCUAGACUUUUCCUUUGUAUUGAAUGUUAUCGGUUAUAUUAGAGGCUCAGACUUGUGACGCCGGAUCCUUUGGCUGUAUUUACUUUGGAUUUUGUUUUCCGCAGUGUUAUUUACUAUUUCAAUCUGAGAUUUUAUCUUUAAAAUGAUAUUUAAGUUAAUGAUAAGGCUGGAAAUAAUUUAAUGGUCGGGCUUGCCUUACAAGAUGUUUGGCGCCAUCACAACCGGGGUUUGGGUCGUAACACUAAAGUUCUUGUAUGUGCGCUGAAGAGAAGUCUGCUCUUAACCAAAAUGCAGAAAUUUGACAUUUAUGAACCUUUCAAAUGAUUUCCCUGUGCUUACUGUUACUAUCGAGUGUGCCGUUAGAGUACUUUUAGUAUUUGGUCCUAAUACUUGAAAUAAAGCAAGAAAGCAAGUGUUUAUGACUCCAUGUGUGUUAUUUGUCUUAGAAAAGUCUACUGCUACUCUGUUAUUUUUUUUAUAUAGUAAAAAAA
Molecule: long non-coding RNA, 1420 nt
Filed under: Nicotiana benthamiana
Lineage: Eukaryota; Viridiplantae; Streptophyta; Magnoliopsida; Solanales; Solanaceae
Description: long non-coding RNA (NBEN_LNC037496)
Source: RNAcentral